Molecule: long non-coding RNA, 585 nt
Organism: Engraulis encrasicolus (European anchovy)
Lineage: Eukaryota; Metazoa; Chordata; Actinopteri; Clupeiformes; Engraulidae
Exons: 3
Source: RefSeq, a predicted model, not a curated record
AACAACAUCCAGCUACAUUGGACUACCACUUCAACUUGGACCUGACGCAUACAGACACUCCCAGGCCAGGGAAACUUACAGCAUUGACCAGGCCCAGGACAAAAUCAGCUGAAAAGGCCCCCUCUCUCCAUGCACACAGAGGCGAUUCUAGGUAUAGGCUUGGGGGCCCCAAGCAGAUGCCUGCCUAUCCUGGUGACAAGAUGCACUUCUGCGAUGCAUACAGUGUAAUGGGGACCAGAUUCUGGACCCCUGCUCUCCCUGUGCCCGGGACAACUCACGUUUUUGUCCCCCUCUGCCAACAGGCAGGCCUGGACACUCCAACACUCUACAUUCAGGUUCUACAUUUUUCUUUUCUCCUGGCUGGCUGUGCAACACUAGCUGCGCACAACUCAAACUCUGAUUGUUGGAAACCGCUGUCCGUCAAAAAAUUAGCUCACGUGGUUGGCUGCCAGUGUCUUGCCCCUCCUCACAACCUUGUGUUUAUAAACACGGUGAACCCAUGUAUAAACGGGCUGUUGACCCGGGCCCUCUAUCAUCGGCCUCAGGUAAUCAUCCUUUCCCCAUCAUCCCUUUCCCACCACUGUU